RNAcentral lists this long non-coding RNA (1108 nucleotides) under Cyanistes caeruleus (blue tit). Its description in RNAcentral is "lncRNA (ENSCCEG00000024160.1)". The record is from RNAcentral. Lineage: Eukaryota; Metazoa; Chordata; Aves; Passeriformes; Paridae.
GCUGGUGUGAUCUGGGGUUGUCGUCAGCCACCAGCACUGGGCUGGGAUUUAAAGGGACAAUGCAGAUGAUGUCUGCAUACCUCCAGAUGUCUGCAUACCUCCAGAUGUCUGCAUACCUCCGGCCUCAGUGUGCCGUCAUAUGACACCUUAAAUAGAGAGACAAGGCUCUCCUCAAAGCCUGUGUGUGUCCUUGCCCACCACAGACCCCUUUUCUGGCAGAGUCGAUGUGGUUCUGAGCAAAGCAGAACAGCUUGAUAAUAUUCCUGCCAGGACUUUUUGGUCUUUGCCAUCACCUUGGCUUGGCGUCACCUCAGCUCCAGGCGCUCAAGCCAAGGCAGCCCCUACUGCUCUGCCCACCUGUUCCCUCACAAGCCAUCACUCCCCACGUCCCCGGCCGUCCCCCCAGCUGUGCCCCGGGGUGUCGGAGGGGUUCCCGGUGUGCCCGCCUGGGGCACGUACUCACGGGGUUCAGUGGAGCCAGGGCAGGGCAGCCCGCCAGCGCGCGGCCUUCUGCGCUUCUCCGUGCUCCCUGUGCCUUCGCCUCAUCCCCUCUCCUGCGGCAUCCAGCGGGCAGAAAUAGCCCCAAAGCACGUGCUGCCUUCCGGGGAGCGAUGCCAGGGGCACCCUGGGCGCUGCCCUCCUCGGGGGCUGCCCUGGCACUGGUGGCACUAGGGGCUCCAGCCCGGCGCCGUGCCGGGGCACGGGCUGCUCACAGCUCGGGUGAGGAACAUCUUCAUUUAUCUGCCAAGAUAAUAAAUUCUGCCUUAGAGUUUCUCACCUGGCAACAGUCACCAAGGAAACGAGAAUGGCUGCUGCGGGUCCCCGCUGGCACCGCCUGGGGAGGCCCGGUGGCCCUGGCAGAGGGUGGCCGGCCGUGUGAGCAUGGGGCCAGCUGCCCGCUCCAAACCCGAGCACAGGCCCAGCAGAACACACAUCCGUGUGGGCUUGGCCCUCGUGCCGCCUCUCUGGAGCCGAGGAGCUCCUGCAGCUCAGACAUCCCUGUGUGACUUCUCCUCCACACACAUCAGUGGCAGCAAGCCAGGGAGGGCAGCUCUGGCUGGGAAAAGAAGCAGGAAACCUGAGAAGCAAGAUAAGAGCUUCAGAGCUG